RNAcentral lists this long non-coding RNA (834 nucleotides) under Spirodela polyrhiza (greater duckweed). Its description in RNAcentral is "long non-coding RNA (SPOL_LNC001256)". The record is from RNAcentral. Lineage: Eukaryota; Viridiplantae; Streptophyta; Magnoliopsida; Alismatales; Araceae.
ACACCAGUAUUAGCACUAGUGAUCAGAGGGUACCAGAGGGUUAAGAGUGAGUUUCUAACAGAAUGAUCUCUACUUGUUGGUGAGGGACUAGUGAAUUCUUUGAGAGCCAAGAUUAGAGGUCUAUAUUCUAGGUUUUAGGGAGUAUUAUUCUGUACUUCUUCUACAUCUAGUAGAGCUUUUUCAUCGCUGCCCGUGGACGUUGGAGGCCAACCUCUGAACCACGUAAAUCCUUGUGUCUCUAAUUGUAAGUUGUUCAUUUAGUUUCUAUCUUCUAACUUCCACGCUAAGUCCAUAUUAAGCUUUUAUCUCUAACAGAGGGAAUGAAGUAAAAGAACAAAUGGGCUACAAUAGAGGAAUGGAACCAGAACUGAAUGUGAUCGCUACAAGCAGAAGCGAAGCAAUGAUCAAUCCGAUGGGGGGAGUUCGCUGCGACAGUUGCAACGGGAGGCUGGAUCCCGAGAUGCCGCGACAUUUAUUGGUGCAGUUCUACCGCAUUCUCCGAUGAGAUUUCCCCUACUUGGCGGAUGAGGCGGCCUUCGCCCUCGCCACCAUCGCCGCGGCGAACUCCAACAGCUUGUCUGUCUCCGGCAUCACCCCCUUCACAGCCUCCUCGGCGCAGAACCGGUCAGCCCACGCGGCCAGAUGAGGGAACCUGUCUCCGUCCAGGAUCUUCAAGCCGGACAUCUUCUCGCUGACCUGGAUCCACCUCAAGUAGCUCCCCAGGGCGAUGUCCAGGAACCCGACGGCGUCACCGCCGAACCACUUUCCUCCCUUGCCACAGGUCUGGAAGGCCUCCUCCAGCAGCUGGGCCCCGGCGAAGAUCUGCUCCGCUAC